CCUACGGGUGGCAGCAGUGAGGAAUAUUGGUCAAUGGACGAGAGUCUGAACCAGCCAAGUAGCGUGAAGGAUGACGGCCCUACGGGUUGUAAACUUCUUUUAUAUGGGAAUAAGAUGUUCCACGUGUGGGAUUGCGUAUGUACCAUAUGAAUAAGGAUCGGCUAACUCCGUGCCAGCAGCCGCGGUAAUACGGAGGAUCCGAGCGUUAUCCGGAUUUAUUGGGUUUAAAGGGUGCGUAGGCGGCAUGUCAAACGCGCUGGUAAAUGUACGGGGUCAACCCUGGCCGUGCAGCGCAAACUGGCGUGCUAGAGUGCGCGGGAAGCAGGCGGAAUGCGUCGUGUAGCGGUGAAAUGCUUAGAUAUGACGAAGAACCCCGAUUGCGAAGGCAGCUUGCUGCAGCGGAACUGACGCUGAUGCUCGAAAGCGCGGGUAUCGAACAGGAUUAGAUACCCCUGUAGUC
This 460-nucleotide ribosomal RNA is filed under the name uncultured bacterium. RNAcentral describes it as "partial 16S ribosomal RNA". It matches the Rfam family "Bacterial small subunit ribosomal RNA", at positions 338 to 795 of the family's 1533-position model. The record is from RNAcentral.